CUACGGGUCGCAGCAGUGGGGAAUUUUGGACAAUGGGGGCAACCCUGAUCCAGCCAUGCCGCGUGAGUGAAGAAGGCCUUCGGGUUGUAAAGCUCUUUCGGCCGGGAAGAAAUCGCAUCCUCUAAUAUGGGGUGUGGAUGACGGUACCGGAAGAAGAAGCACCGGCUAACUACGUGCCAGCAGCCGCGGUAAUACGUAGGGUGCGAGCGUUAAUCGGAAUUACUGGGCGUAAAGCGUGCGCAGGCGGCGCCAUAAGACAGCUGUGAAAUCCCCGGGCUUAACCUGGGAACUGCGGUUGUGACUGUGGUGCUUGAGUGCGGCAGAGGGGGGUGGAAUUCCACGUGUAGCAGUGAAAUGCGUAGAGAUGUGGAGGAACACCGAUGGCGAAGGCAGCCCCCUGGGUUGACACUGACGCUCAUGCACGAAAGCGUGGGGAGCAAACAGGAUUAGAUACCCUAGUAGUC
This 464-nucleotide ribosomal RNA is filed under the name uncultured bacterium. RNAcentral's name for it is "partial 16S ribosomal RNA". It matches the Rfam family "Bacterial small subunit ribosomal RNA", at positions 339 to 795 of the family's 1533-position model. The record is from RNAcentral.